GUGUCAGCCGCCGCGGUAAUACGUAGGGUCCGAGCGUUGUCCGGAGUUACUGGGCGUAAAGCGCGCGCAGGCGGCGGUGUAAGCAUGGCGUGAAAGCCCCAGGCUCAACCUGGGAGGGUCGUCGUGGACUGCACCGCUUGAGGGCGGUAGGGGCUGGUGGAAUGCCUGGUGUAGUGGUGAAAUGCGUAGAGAUCAGGCGGAACACCCGUGGCGAAGGCGGCCAGCUGGGCCGUCCCUGACGCUGAGGCGCGAAGGCGUGGGGAGCGAACGGGAUUAGAUACCCGGGUAGUCC
Molecule: ribosomal RNA, 292 nt
Filed under: uncultured bacterium
Lineage: Bacteria
Description: partial 16S ribosomal RNA
Rfam family: Bacterial small subunit ribosomal RNA
Source: RNAcentral